Molecule: ribosomal RNA, 168 nt
Filed under: Synechococcus sp. KORDI-13
Lineage: Bacteria; Bacillati; Cyanobacteriota; Cyanophyceae; Synechococcales; Synechococcaceae
Description: partial 23S ribosomal RNA
Rfam family: Bacterial large subunit ribosomal RNA
Source: RNAcentral
GGUCAAGCUACAAAGGGCUCACGGCGGAUACCUUGGCACACAGAGGCGAUGAAGGACGUGGUUACCUGCGAUAAGUCUCGGGGAGCUGGAAGCACGCUUUGAUCCGGGAAUUUCCGAAUGGGGCAACCCUUAAUACGGCCAGCUGAAUCCAUAGGCUGGCACGAGCCA